This 689-nucleotide long non-coding RNA is filed under the name Calidris pugnax (ruff). Its description in RNAcentral is "lncRNA (ENSCPUG00000005288.1)". The record is from RNAcentral. Lineage: Eukaryota; Metazoa; Chordata; Aves; Charadriiformes; Scolopacidae.
ACCUUCUUUUAUUUUAAAGGCAUUAAGCCUUGUCCUAUUGCAACAGGCUCUGCAUCCUUGGAUGCUGUUGUCUGUCUGUCUGUCCCUGGUGCAGGGGGAAGCCAGCUUCACUCUAAAGGCAGUGUGGCCAGGCAGUUCCUUAGCUGUGGAUGAAGAGCAGGACCUUUGAGCCGAGCCAUUCCAGAUGACCUUGGGUGAAUUGGGCUGCAUCACGAGCGAGGACACCCCUUCUUCUGAACAGAUGAAAAGCCACCUUCUAAGCACACGGGCAUGUAACUUGAGGAGAUGCAGGUGGAUCACUCUCUACCAGAUCUCGAGGCAAAUAUUGGUCUAUGGUCCUUGCUCUCAGCAACAUCUUCAGUGUCCUGGUGAUGGGGUGCCUUGGAAGGACUGCGCAGAACAAGCUUCAUACCACCUCUGCACUUCAGGCUCUCUGCACUGAGGCAAUGAACACAGACCUGUACUUCACACAGGUUUUGCCACAGGAGCCUUUUCCAGUCCUGUCCCUGCUCAAACAGGGUCUGCCUGAACAUCCCUCAACAGCCGGCCAGAGCAACCAGCAAGCUUGCCAGAUGCUGCAAGAGAAGCAACGCUGGCAAGGCCGAAAGCUGGGAGCAGGAAGCGGCUGCGCCCUGAUGGCUGUCGUUUCCCCUGCGAGCCCCUCCUGUGUCCUGCCAGCUGCUCUCUGA